UAUGGCUAUAUGCCCCCAGUUCCCCAUUAUCAACAACAGUACCCACCACCACCAUAUAAUGCUCCGAUGCCUCCAUCCCACCCACCAGCUGUAAAUCAUCCUUAUCAGCAUUCCAUGCAGCCAGGGUCUUCACAGGCAGGGUCUGCUCAGGGUGGCUCUGCACCUGCCGAAGCCGGAACAUCGUCAUCAGGGUCACAGCAGCAGUGAAAUUUUCCAUAAACUAAUGUUAGUAGCCAUGUUUAACUUUUGUGCGAAGUUUAUCCUUAGAAGGACCAUGCUGACAGGGAAGAUAUCUUGGCUCAAGUAGUCAAUUUACUAUCUCAACCUCAAUUUUAUAUUGAUUUGUAUUGUGCCUUGAACAGGUUCUUUUAUGAUUUGUUUGUGUUUUGUGCUUCUUACCUUCCCGAUUAGAUCAUACUUGGCACUAAAUUAUUAAUCAUGUUAGAGCUUAUUGUUUUAUUUAGUAAACAUUAGGUAAUUUUUUCUGUUAAAAAUCAAGAACAAGUUGGUUAAGAAAGAAGAAUUGAAUUAUUUUUUUUCCUCGAGUUCAUCAAUAAAUUUUGUACAAAAGAAUUUUUAUACAUUACAGUUUCAUUUUUUGUGUAGUACAUGAACUAAAUUCUUUACCUCAUCAAUGGUGAAUUGGUACGAAAUUCUUCAAGAGAUUUAUGUAACUUACACUAAAAUGUGGUUAAUCCCUGAUUUUAUGACUUAUGGGAUGAUGAUUGCGUGGGAACCUGAUCCUUUAUCUUUGACUUUUGGUUCCUUCACCUUCUUAACCAUGUUUUCCAGUUUAUUUCUUCAGUUUAUUAAGAAUAUAUAUAUAUAUAUACAUAUAUAUAUAUAUACAUAUAUACAUAUAUAUACAUAUAUACAUAUAUAUAUAUACAUAUAUAUAUAUAUAUACAUAUAUACAUAUAUAUAUAUACAUAUAUAUAUAUAUAUACAUAUAUACAUAUAUAUAUAUACAUAUAUAUAUAUAUAUACAUAUAUACAUAUAUAUAUAUACAUAUAUAUAUAUAUAUACAUAUUUUUGGAGGACAAUGAUUUACAAUUUCCAGUAUAUUUUCUACUUUUGAUUUGCACUUAUAAUUUUAUCAUAUUUUAUAUAUGUAUCCUUGAAUGUAUCGUAUCCUAUAUUUUAGAAAAAAUGUGUGUCGAUGUAUCGGAUACGUAUUGUAUCCGACAUAUGUAUCUGUACUCAUGCUUUAUAGCUUGCAGCCAUUUUACUUGCAUGUGGGCUUAUUUUUAGUUUCCUGAUGUAUGUGAGUACACUGGUAGUCAUGUAUUUAUUUUGUUUUUGGUUUUCAGUGAAAUGAAAGCCCGCCAUGUAUAUAUGGUUCUUAUUUAGCCGGUAAUUUUGUUUUCUCUUAGUAACCUUUUGUUUGUGCCUUGCUACUUGCAUCCACAUGUUAAUCUGUAGGAAGAGAUGUUUUUUUUAUCAUGGGGUGAGGGGAUAUGCCUUGAAAGUAUUGUACCAUCAAUCCUAACAUCCAAAAAUGAUGUAACAGAGUAUCAAUAGCCACUAAAGAUGUAUCAAACUUAUUGUGGGGAUAACCUGUCAUGUAUACUACAUUUAUCCUAUUUUUGAUCUCAUAUAAACCUGUGUCCUCCUGAUUUUUAAUUAGCUUCUCAAUUUCAUAGUGACUGUAGAUGCUGGUAAUAUUUGCUUUUGUUGGUAACAUUUUUGAUACUGCUUCAUGCUUUUAGCUCGAUUGUCUUUUUAAGAAAAAUAAUGUUUGCAAACCUGCAGGGUGAAUGAUCCAGUGGCAUUAAAGCUACUUGGCAAGGCAGGAGAGAUGCCCUCUCUGGAGGCUCCUGAAGAUGAGAGCAUUAAAACUCUUUAUGUUGGUGGACUUGAUGCAAGGGUCACUGAGCAGGAUUUGCGGGAUAACUUCUAUGCCCAUGGUGAAAUUGAAUCCAUCAAAAUGGUUCUUCAACGGGCUUGUGCUUUUGUGACCUAUACAACCAGAGAAGCCGCCGAAAAGGCAGCAGAAGAACUCUCAAACAAACUGGUUAUUAAGGGCCUAAGGCUAAAGCUGAUGUGGGGUAGGCCUCAGUCGGCGAAACCUGAGUCGGAUGACUCCAACCAAGCAAGGCAGCAGGCUUCUGUGGCUCAUAGCGGGUUGUUGCCUAGAGCGAUUAUAUCACAGCAGCAAAGCCAGGACCAGAACCAAGGAAUGGUUUACUAUAGCAAUCCACCUCCUCAACCGCAAAGAAGCUAUUACCCAUCAAUGGAUCCUCAAAGAAUGGGUGCUCUUAUUCCUUCUCAAGAGGGUCCUCCUGGGGGACCUUCCGGGUCUGGGGAGAACAAACCCAUUAUGGAGAAGCAGCAAAUGCAACAUUAUGCCCAUCCAAUGAGGCCUCCACCACCAGGCCAAUAUCAACAUCAGUAUUAUCCUCCAUAUGGCUAUAUGCCCCCAGUUCCCCAUUAUCAACAACAGUACCCACCACCACCAUAUAAUGCUCCGAUGCCUCCAUCCCACCCACCAGCUGUAAAUCAUCCUUAUCAGCAUUCCAUGCAGCCAGGGUCUUCACAGGCAGGGUCUGCUCAGGGUGGCUCUGCACCUGCCGAAGCCGGAACAUCGUCAUCAGGGUCACAGCAGCAGUGAAAUUUUCCAUAAACUAAUGUUAGUAGCCA
This 2641-nucleotide long non-coding RNA is filed under the name Lupinus angustifolius (narrow-leaved blue lupine). Its description in RNAcentral is "long non-coding RNA (LANG_LNC002929)". Lineage: Eukaryota; Viridiplantae; Streptophyta; Magnoliopsida; Fabales; Fabaceae. The record is from RNAcentral.